AUUUGACCAAGAUCAGAUUGGUACUUCUCUUGAAGAUGAGAUGAGUUUAACUAUUGCUCAGAAGCAGAAAUUUACAAUUCGACAUAUAUCCCCUGAUUGGGGGUAUUCAUCUGAGCCAACAAAGAUUGUUAUCAUUGGAUCUUUUCUUUGUAAUCCUUCAGAGUGCACGUGGACUUGCAUGUUUGGUGAUAUUGAAGUUCCUGUUCAGAUCAUUCAAGAAGGUGUCAUCUGUUGUCAAGCUCCUCGUCACUUGCCUGGUAAAGUCACGCUUUGUGUUACUAGUGGCAAUCGGGAGUCGUGCAGUGAGGUGAGGGAG
Molecule: unclassified non-coding RNA, 316 nt
Filed under: Hevea brasiliensis (rubber tree)
Lineage: Eukaryota; Viridiplantae; Streptophyta; Magnoliopsida; Malpighiales; Euphorbiaceae
Source: RNAcentral